GCUGUCUCCACCCGAGACUCAGUGAAAUUGAAAUCGCAGUGAGGAUGCUGUGUAUCCGCGGCUAGACGGAAAGACCCCGUGAACCUUUACUACAGCUUCACAGUGGACUUUGACAUAACUUGUGUAGGAUAGCGGGGAGGCUUUGAAACUGUGACGCCAGUUACAGUGGAGCCAAUCUUGAAAUACCAGCCUGGUUAUGUUGAGGUUCUAACUCAGACCCCUGAUCGGGGCCGAGG
Molecule: ribosomal RNA, 236 nt
Filed under: Oceanospirillum sediminis
Lineage: Bacteria; Pseudomonadati; Pseudomonadota; Gammaproteobacteria; Oceanospirillales; Oceanospirillaceae
Description: partial 23S ribosomal RNA
Rfam family: Bacterial large subunit ribosomal RNA
Source: RNAcentral